GCAAGUCGAACGGUAACAUAAAGAAGCUUGCUUCUUUGAUGACGAGUGGCGUACGGGUGAGUAAUGCUUGGGAAUCUAGCUUAUGGAGGGGGAUAACUACGGGAAACUGUAGCUAAUACCGCGUAGAAUCGAGAGAUGAAAGUGUGGGACCUUCGGGCCACAUGCCAUAGGAUGAGCCCAAGUGGGAUUAGGUAGUUGGUGAGGUAAAGGCUCACCAAGCCGACGAUCUCUAGCUGGUCUGAGAGGAUGACCAGCCACACUGGGACUGAGACACGGCCCAGACUCCUACGGGAGGCAGCAGUGGGGAAUAUUGCGCAAUGGGGGCAACCCUGACGCAGCCAUGCCGCGUGAAUGAAGAAGGCCUUCGGGUUGUAAAGUUCUUUCGGUAGCGAGGAAGGCAUUUAGUUUAAUAGACUAGGUGAUUGACGUUAACUACAGAAGAAGCACCGGCUAACUCCGUGCCAGCAGCCGCGGUAAUACGGAGGGUGCGAGCGUUAAUCGGAAUAACUGGGCGUAAAGGGCACGCAGGCGGUGACUUAAGUGAGGUGUGAAAGCCCCGGGCUUAACCUGGGAAUUGCAUUUCAUACUGGGUCGCUAGAGUACUUUAGGGAGGGGUAGAAUUCCACGUGUAGCGGUGAAAUGCGUAGAGAUGUGGAGGAAUACCGAAGGCGAAGGCAGCCCCUUGGGAAUGUACUGACGCUCAUGUGCGAAAGCGUGGGGAGCAAACAGGAUUAGACACCCUGGUAGUCCACGCUGUAAACGAUGUCGAUUUGGGGGUUGAGCUUUGAGCUUGGCGCCCGUAGCUAACGUGAUGAAUCGACCGCCUGGGGAGUAC
RNAcentral lists this ribosomal RNA (835 nucleotides) under uncultured bacterium. RNAcentral describes it as "bacterial SSU rRNA". It matches the Rfam family "Bacterial small subunit ribosomal RNA", at positions 57 to 883 of the family's 1533-position model. The record is from RNAcentral.